RNAcentral lists this ribosomal RNA (253 nucleotides) under uncultured bacterium. RNAcentral describes it as "partial 16S ribosomal RNA". It matches the Rfam family "Bacterial small subunit ribosomal RNA", at positions 524 to 776 of the family's 1533-position model. The record is from RNAcentral.
UACGUAGGAUGCGAGCGUUGUCCGGAAUUAUUGGGCGUAAAGAGCACGUAGGCGGUUUGUUAAGUUUGGGCUUAAAGACUGGGGCUCAACCCCAGGAGUGGCUCGAAAACUGACAGACUAGAGGAUGGCAGAGGAAAGUGGAAUUCCCAGUGUAGCGGUGAAAUGCGUAGAUAUUGGGAGGAACACCAGUGGCGAAAGCGACUUUCUGGGCCAUUCCUGACGCUGAGGUUCGAAAGCUCGGGGAGCAAACAGG